This 301-nucleotide ribosomal RNA is filed under the name uncultured bacterium. RNAcentral's name for it is "partial 16S ribosomal RNA". It matches the Rfam family "Bacterial small subunit ribosomal RNA", at positions 509 to 807 of the family's 1533-position model. The record is from RNAcentral.
CAGUCGCCACGGUAAUACGUAGGGUGCAAGCGUUAAUCGGAAUUAUUGGGCGUAAAGGGCGCGUAGGCGGCGGCCAAAGUCAGGCGUGAAAUUCCCGGGCUCAACCUGGGGGCUGCGUUUGAUACUUGGUUGCUUGAGUGGGGAAGAGGGUCGUGGAAUUCCCAGUGUAGAGGUGAAAUUCGUAGAUAUUGGGAAGAACACCGGUGGCGAAGGCGGCGACCUGGUCCUUUACUGACGCUGAGGCGCGAAAGCGUGGGGAGCAAACAGGAUUAGAUACCCCUGUAGUCCCUGUCUCUUAUAC